This 25-nucleotide small RNA is filed under the name Bombyx mori (domestic silkworm). Its description in RNAcentral is "ovarian small RNA-22743". The record is from RNAcentral. Lineage: Eukaryota; Metazoa; Arthropoda; Insecta; Lepidoptera; Bombycidae.
UAGGUAUAAUCAACUUGGUGGUGUU